RNAcentral lists this ribosomal RNA (636 nucleotides) under uncultured bacterium. RNAcentral's name for it is "bacterial SSU rRNA". It matches the Rfam family "Bacterial small subunit ribosomal RNA", at positions 202 to 842 of the family's 1533-position model. The record is from RNAcentral.
UAAAGAAUUUCGGUAUGGGAUGGGGAUGCGUUCCAUUAGUUAGUUGGCGGGGUAACGGCCCACCAAGACAACGAUGAAUAGGGGUUCUGAGAGGAAGGUCCCCCACAUUGGAACUGAGACACGGUCCAAACUCCUACGGGAGGCAGCAGUGAGGAAUAUUGGUCAAUGGACGAGAGUCUGAACCAGCCAAGUAGCGUGAAGGAUGACUGCCCUACGGGUUGUAAACUUCUUUUAUAUGGGAAUAAAAUGUUCCACGUGUGGGAUUUUGUAUGUACCAUAUGAAUAAGGAUCGGCUAACUCCGUGCCAGCAGCCGCGGUAAUACGGAGGAUCCGAGCGUUAUCCGGAUUUAUUGGGUUUAAAGGGAGCGUAGGUGGAUUGUUAAGUCAGUUGUGAAAGUUUGCGGCUCAACCGUAAAAUUGCAGUUGAAACUGGCAGUCUUGAGUACAGUAGAGGUGGGCGGAAUUCGUGGUGUAGCGGUGAAAUGCUUAGAUAUCACGAAGAACUCCGAUUGCGAAGGCAGCUCACUGGACUGCAACUGACACUGAGGCUCGAAAGUGUGGGUAUCAAACAGGAUUAGAUACCCUGGUAGUCCACACAGUAAACGAUGAAUACUCGCUGUUUGCGAUAUACUGCAA